AUUGAACGCUGGCGGCAGGCCUAACACAUGCAAGUCGAGCGGAUGAAGGGAGCUUGCUCCUGGAUUCAGCGGCGGACGGGUGAGUAAUGCCUAGGAAUCUGCCUGGUAGUGGGGGAUAACGUCCGGAAACGGGCGCUAAUACCGCAUACGUCCUGAGGGAGAAAGUGGGGGAUCUUCGGACCCCACGCUAUCAGAUGAGCCUAGGUCGGAUUAGCUAGUUGGUGGGGUAAAGGCCUACCAAGGCGACGAUCCGUAACUGGUCUGAGAGGAUGAUCAGUCACACUGGAACUGAGACACGGUCCAGACUCCUACGGGAGGCAGCAGUGGGGAAUAUUGGACAAUGGGCGAAAGCCUGAUCCAGCCAUGCCGCGUGUGUGAAGAAGGUCUUCGGAUUGUAAAGCACUUUAAGUUGGGAGGAAGGGCAGUAAGUUAAUACCUUGCUGUUUUGACGUUACCAACAGAAUAAGCACCGGCGAACUUCGU
This 483-nucleotide ribosomal RNA is filed under the name uncultured bacterium. RNAcentral's name for it is "partial 16S ribosomal RNA". It matches the Rfam family "Bacterial small subunit ribosomal RNA", at positions 30 to 506 of the family's 1533-position model. The record is from RNAcentral.